UGUGGGGAUCUCUCCCAUAUAGGGGGAGAUAACCUGUGGAAAGGGGGGCUAAUACCGCAUAGCGUCACGAGACCAAAGAGGGGGACCUUCGGGUCUCUCUCUAUCAGAUGAACCCAUGGGGUAUUAUCUAGUGCGGGGGGUAGGGGCCCCCCUGCGACACUACCCCUCUGGGGUCUGAGAAGAAGACCACCCACUGUGGCUCUGACACACGGCCCACACUCCUACGGGGGGCAGCUGUGGAGAAUAUUGCACUGUGGGCGCACGCCUGAUGCACCUGUGCCGCGUGUAUGAAAAGCGUCUUCGGUUUGUAAAGUUUUUUCCGCGGAGAAGAGGGAGAGGGGGUUAAUAACCCUGUAUAGUGACUUUACCCGCAAAAAAAACCCCCUCUAUCUCCGUGCCCACCCCCGCGGUAAUACAGAGGGUGCACGCGUUUCUCAAAUUUAGUGGGCGUAAAGCGCACGCGGGCGGUCUGUUAAGUCAUAUGUGAAUCUCCCCGGUCUUAACCUGUGAACUCUGUUUUUGAAAUCUGGCAGGCUUGAGACUCUUGUAGAGGGGGGUAGAAUUCCAGUGUGUAGCGGUGAGAUGUGCGUAGAGAUCUGGAGGAAUACCGGUGGGGAGAGCGCGGCCCCCUGUGACACAGACAGUGACUCUCAGUGUGCGAGAGCGUGGGGAGCACACGAGGAUUAUAUACCCUGUGAUAGUCCACGCCGUAUACGAUGUCGUACAUUGGAGGUUGUGUCCUUUGAGGAGUGUCUUCCGGAGCUAUACGCGUUAAGUCGACCGCCUGUGGAGAUACGGCCGCAAGUUUACAAACUCAAAUGAAUUGACGGGGGCCCGCACAAGCGGUGGAGCAUGUGGUUUAAUUCGAUGCAACGCGAAGAACCUUACCUACUCUUGACAUCCAGCGAACUUAGCAGAGAUGCUUUGGUGCCUUCGGGAACGCUGAGACAGGUGCUGCAUGGCUGUCGUCAGCUCGUGUUGUGAAAUGUUGGGUUAAGUCCCGCAACGAGCGCAACCCUUAUCCUUUGUUGCCAGCGAUUCGGUCGGGAACUCAAAGGAGACUGCCGGUGAUAAACCGGAGGAAGGUGGGGAUGACGUCAAGUCAUCAUGGCCCUUACGAGUAGGGCUACACACGUGCUACAAUGGCGCAUACAAAGAGAAGCGACCUCGCGAGAGCAAGCGGACCUCACAAAGUGCGUCGUAGUCCGGAUCGGAGUCUGCAACUCGACUCCGUGAAGUCGGAAUCGCUAGUAAUCGUGGAUCAGAAUGCCACGGUGAAUACGUUCCCGGGCCUUGU
This 1297-nucleotide ribosomal RNA is filed under the name bacterium. Its description in RNAcentral is "bacterial SSU rRNA". It matches the Rfam family "Bacterial small subunit ribosomal RNA", at positions 116 to 1384 of the family's 1533-position model. The record is from RNAcentral.